GCGUUGUUCGGAAUUACUGGGCGUAAAGGGCUCGUAGGCGGCCAACUAAGUCAGACGUGAAAUCCCUCGGCUUAACCGGGGAACUGCGUCUGAUACUGGAUGGCUUGAGUUUGGGAGAGGGAUGCGGAAUUCCAGGUGUAGCGGUGAAAUGCGUAGAUAUCUGGAGGAACACCGGUGGCGAAGGCGGCAUCCUGGACCAACACUGACGCUGAGGAGCGAAAGCCAGGGGAGCAAACGGG
RNAcentral lists this ribosomal RNA (239 nucleotides) under uncultured bacterium. RNAcentral describes it as "partial 16S ribosomal RNA". It matches the Rfam family "Bacterial small subunit ribosomal RNA", at positions 538 to 776 of the family's 1533-position model. The record is from RNAcentral.